UACAGAGGUCCCGAGCGUUGUUCGGAUUCACUGGGCGUAAAGGGUGCGUAGGUGGUGAGGUAAGUCGGAUGUGAAAUCUCCAGGCUCAACCUGGAAACUGCAUUGGAAACUACCUUGCUUGAGGAUUUGAGGGGGGAUUGGAAUACUUGGUGUAGCAGUGAAAUGCGUAGAUAUCAAGUGGAACACCAGUGGCGAAGGCGAAUCCCUGGAAAUACCUGACACUGAGGCACGAAAGCUAGGGGAGCAAACAGG
Molecule: ribosomal RNA, 252 nt
Filed under: uncultured bacterium
Lineage: Bacteria
Description: partial 16S ribosomal RNA
Rfam family: Bacterial small subunit ribosomal RNA
Source: RNAcentral